AUAUCUCUCUGUACGGGAAGGAUGAGAAGCUUCGACUAAGGUUCGAUUCGAGCGUCAGCGAGAAAGCGUUGCCGCAGGCAACGACCCGAAGGGCGAAGCGCGCAGCUCUGAGUCAUCCUUCCCCCACCACCA
This 132-nucleotide small RNA is filed under the name Salmonella enterica subsp. enterica serovar Kande. Its description in RNAcentral is "RtT sRNA". It matches the Rfam family "RtT RNA". From Rfam's summary of the family: This family represents a bacterial cis-regulatory element known as RtT RNA. The exact function of RtT is unknown although it is thought that it may be involved in changing the cellular response in relation to amino acid starvation. The record is from RNAcentral. Lineage: Bacteria; Pseudomonadati; Pseudomonadota; Gammaproteobacteria; Enterobacterales; Enterobacteriaceae.